Molecule: ribosomal RNA, 253 nt
Filed under: uncultured bacterium
Lineage: Bacteria
Description: partial 16S ribosomal RNA
Rfam family: Bacterial small subunit ribosomal RNA
Source: RNAcentral
GACAGAGGGUGCAAACGUUGUUCGGAAUUACUGGGCCUAAAGCGCACGUAGGUGGUCCGCUAAGUCGCGUGUGAAAUCCCUCGGCUCAACCGAGGAAUUGCGGGCGAUACUGGCGGGCUAGAGAUCGGGAGGGGUGAGUGGAACUCCAGGUGGAGCGGUGAAAUGCGUAGAUAUCUGGAGGAACACCGGUGGCGAAAGCGACUCACUGGCCCGACACUGACACUGAGGUGCGAAAGCUAGGGUAGCAAACGGG